GGGUUGUGAGGUUAAGCGACUAAGCGUACACGGUGGAUGCCCUGGCAGUCAGAGGCGAUGAAGGACGUGCUAAUCUGCGAAAAGCGUCGGUAAGGUGAUAUGAACCGUUAUAGCCGGCGAUGUCCGAAUGGGGAAACCCAGUGCAAUUCGUUGCACUAUCGUUAACUGAAUACAUAGGUUAACGAGGCGAACCGGGGGAACUGAAACAUCUAAGUACCCCGAGGAAAAGAAAUCAACCGAGAUUCCCCCAGUAGCGGCGAGCGAACGGGGAGCAGCCCAGAGUCUGAAUCAGCUUGUGUGUUAGUGGAACGGUCUGGAAAGUCCGACGGUACAGGGUGAUAGUCCCGUACACCAAAAUGCACAGGUUGUGAACUCGAAGAGUAGGGCGGGACACGUGGUAUCCUGUCUGAAUAUGGGGGGACCAUCCUCCAAGGCUAAAUACUCCUGACUGACCGAUAGUGAACCAGUACCGUGAGGGAAAGGCGAAAAGAACCCCGGCGAGGGGAGUGAAAAAGAACCUGAAACCGUGUACGUACAAGCAGUGGGAGCACCUUCGGGUGUGACUGCGUACCUUUUGUAUAAUGGGUCAGCGACUUAUAUUCUGUAGCAAGGUUAACCGUAUAGGGGAGCCGCAGGGAAACCGAGUCUUAACUGGGCGUUAAGUUGCAGGGUAUAGACCCGAAACCCGGUGAUCUAGCCAUGGGCAGGUUGAAGGUUGGGUAACACUAACUGGAGGACCGAACCGACUAAUGUUGAAAAAUUAGCGGAUGACUUGUGGCUGGGGGUGAAAGGCCAAUCAAACCGGGAGAUAGCUGGUUCUCCCCGAAAGCUAUUUAGGUAGCGCCUCGUGAAUUCAUCUUCGGGGGUAGAGCACUGUUUCGGCUAGGGGGUCAUCCCGACUUACCAACCCGAUGCAAACUACGAAUACCGAAGAAUGUUAUCACGGGAGACACACGGCGGGUGCUAACGUCCGUCGUGAAGAGGGAAACAACCCAGACCGCCAGCUAAGGUCCCAAAGUCAUGGUUAAGUGGGAAACGAUGUGGGAAGGCACAGACAGCCAGGAUGUUGGCUUAGAAGCAGCCAUCAUUUAAAGAAAGCGUAAUAGCUCACUGGUCGAGUCGGCCUGCGCGGAAGAUGUAACGGGGCUAAACCAUGCACCGAAGCUGCGGCAGCGACACUAUGUGUUGUUGGGUAGGGGAGCGUUCUGUAAGCCUGCGAAGGUGACCUGUGAGGGUUGCUGGAGGUAUCAGAAGUGCGAAUGCUGACAUAAGUAACGAUAAAGCGGGUGAAAAGCCCGCUCGCCGGAAGACCAAGGGUUCCUGUCCAACGUUAAUCGGGGCAGGGUGAGUCGACCCCUAAGGCGAGGCCGAAAGGCGUAGUCGAUGGGAAACAGGUUAAUAUUCCUGUACUUGGUGUUACUGCGAAGGGGGGACGGAGAAGGCUAUGUUAGCCGGGCGACGGUUGUCCCGGUUUAAGCAUGUAGGCUGAUUGUCCAGGCAAAUCCGGAUAAUCAAGGCUGAGGUGUGAUGACGAGGCACUACGGUGCUGAAGUAACAAAUGCCCUGCUUCCAGGAAAAGCCUCUAAGCAUCAGGUAACAUCAAAUCGUACCCCAAACCGACACAGGUGGUCAGGUAGAGAAUACCAAGGCGCUUGAGAGAACUCGGGUGAAGGAACUAGGCAAAAUGGUGCCGUAACUUCGGGAGAAGGCACGCUGGUGUGUAGGUGAAGUCCCUGCGGAUGGAGCUGAGACCAGUCGAAGAUACCAGCUGGCUGCAACUGUUUAUUAAAAACACAGCACUGUGCAAACACGAAAGUGGACGUAUACGGUGUGACGCCUGCCCGGUGCCGGAAGGUUAAUUGAUGGGGUUAUCCGUAAGGAGAAGCUCUUGAUCGAAGCCCCGGUAAACGGCGGCCGUAACUAUAACGGUCCUAAGGUAGCGAAAUUCCUUGUCGGGUAAGUUCCGACCUGCACGAAUGGCGUAAUGAUGGCCAGGCUGUCUCCACCCGAGACUCAGUGAAAUUGAACUCGCUGUGAAGAUGCAGUGUACCCGCGGCAAGACGGAAAGACCCCGUGAACCUUUACUAUAGCUUGACACUGAACAUUGAGCCUUGAUGUGUAGGAUAGGUGGGAGGCUUUGAAGCGUGGACGCCAGUCUGCGUGGAGCCAACCUUGAAAUACCACCCUUUAAUGUUUGAUGUUCUAACGUUGGCCCCUGACCGGGGUUGCGGACAGUGUCUGGUGGGUAGUUUGACUGGGGCGGUCUCCUCCCAAAGCGUAACGGAGGAGCACGAAGGUUAGCUAAUCCUGGUCGGACAUCAGGAGGUUAGUGCAAUGGCAUAAGCUAGCUUGACUGCGAGCGUGACGGCGCGAGCAGGUGCGAAAGCAGGUCAUAGUGAUCCGGUGGUUCUGAAUGGAAGGGCCAUCGCUCAACGGAUAAAAGGUACUCCGGGGAUAACAGGCUGAUACCGCCCAAGAGUUCAUAUCGACGGCGGUGUUUGGCACCUCGAUGUCGGCUCAUCACAUCCUGGGGCUGAAGUAGGUCCCAAGGGUAUGGCUGUUCGCCAUUUAAAGUGGUACGCGAGCUGGGUUUAGAACGUCGUGAGACAGUUCGGUCCCUAUCUGCCGUGGGCGCUGGAGAAUUGAGGGGGGCUGCUCCUAGUACGAGAGGACCGGAGUGGACGCAUCACUGGUGUUCGGGUUGUCAUGCCAAUGGCACUGCCCGGUAGCUAAAUGCGGAAGAGAUAAGUGCUGAAAGCAUCUAAGCACGAAACUUGCCCCGAGAUGAGUUCUCCCUGAGACUUUAAGUCUCCUGAAGGAACGUUGAAGACGACGACGUUGAUAGGCCGGGUGUGUAAGCGCAGCGAUGCGUUGAGCUAACCGGUACUAAUGAACCGUGAGGCUUAACCUUACAACGCCGAAG
RNAcentral lists this ribosomal RNA (2923 nucleotides) under Klebsiella pneumoniae. RNAcentral's name for it is "23S ribosomal RNA". It matches the Rfam family "Bacterial large subunit ribosomal RNA". Lineage: Bacteria; Pseudomonadati; Pseudomonadota; Gammaproteobacteria; Enterobacterales; Enterobacteriaceae. The record is from RNAcentral.